Lycium barbarum (goji berry) is the source of this 660-nucleotide long non-coding RNA. RefSeq lists it as uncharacterized. Lineage: Eukaryota; Viridiplantae; Streptophyta; Magnoliopsida; Solanales; Solanaceae. The transcript is spliced from 6 exons. The record is from RefSeq and is a predicted model, not a curated record.
AAUUGAAAGUUAGAUAUACUUAAUUCCAUAUCAGACUAAAAAAGCCAUUUUCAGUUAAUUUAAUGAAAAUCCUCAUGCACAACUAUCACCAUAAAAGGCCUCUACUUGGUCUCUCUCAAUUCCUCCAAGGGUUUUCUGUGAAGAGAUGGUUGUGAGAUCAGGUACUCUGAAAUAUAAAAAAGUGGCGUGUUGGAGACAGCGAACGCUGAAUGGAGGACUACUGAAUAUUACUAUAUUCCUAUGGAUUUUGAAAACUAUCUAAAGAAUCAACCCCGGUAGAGUGUGUUCAUAGACUGCAGCUGCUCAGCUUCUCAACAAGAUUGUUCAUCGGAAUACUACUGAUAAUACUACUGGUGAUCUGUUCGCGAUUGGCCCUGACGAUUGCCGAACGUUUGAGUGUUUAUUGGCGAUGAUUAUGAGUUUACUAGUCUUGCAUUACUGCUCGCUGGUGUUUGGUCAGAUCAAACACAUUUGCAGCUGUUAGCAACCAAGCGAUUUUGAGCACGGUUCUCUGAUUUUGCGGCUCCUGUCCUAAGUCCAUUUUAUUUAGAAUGUGGUAUUGCUCGUCGAAUUGAAGAGCUUCUAAGGAAGAGAGGUUCUCCGGCCGAGCUCCAGACUGAAGCUGCUUUGGCUCUCCUAGACAUUAGUUCUUAUGUCAUG